RNAcentral lists this non-coding RNA (51 nucleotides) under unclassified sequences. RNAcentral describes it as "6A RNA". It matches the Rfam family "6A RNA". From Rfam's summary of the family: Actinobacteria (1 example), Firmicutes, Fusobacteria. Terminator (Clostridia) The record is from Rfam by way of RNAcentral.
AGAAGCAGUCGUAGAGCGCGACUGCCGCGGAAAAAAGAAAGCUCACUGAGU